GGGGGGAGGGCGAGGGUGAGAAAAGCUAGGGCGGGGGGAAUGCGAAGGCGAGAGAAAGACCCAUUUUUCCUCGCUCUCUUUCUCUCGCCUUCGCAUCCCCCCCUUAGCUUCUCCCACCCUCGCCCUCCCCCCU
Molecule: microRNA precursor, 133 nt
Filed under: Paramuricea clavata
Lineage: Eukaryota; Metazoa; Cnidaria; Anthozoa; Malacalcyonacea; Plexauridae
Source: RNAcentral